Molecule: ribosomal RNA, 24 nt
Filed under: Ourisia caespitosa
Lineage: Eukaryota; Viridiplantae; Streptophyta; Magnoliopsida; Lamiales; Plantaginaceae
Description: partial 18S ribosomal RNA
Source: RNAcentral
GUAGUGAACCUGCGGAAGGAUCAU